This 253-nucleotide ribosomal RNA is filed under the name uncultured bacterium. Its description in RNAcentral is "partial 16S ribosomal RNA". It matches the Rfam family "Bacterial small subunit ribosomal RNA", at positions 524 to 776 of the family's 1533-position model. The record is from RNAcentral.
UACAGAGGCCUCGAGCGUUAAUCGGAGUUACUGGGCUUAAAGGGUGCGUAGGCUGGCUUACAAGUGCCUUGUGAAAUCCCACGGCUCAACCGUGGAAUUGCUUGGUAGACUGUGAGCCUUGAGGUCGGUAGAGGCCGCUGGAACUCUAGGUGGAGCGGUGAAAUGCGUAGAUAUCUAGAGGAACGCCAAAGGUGAAGACAGGCGGCUGGGCCGAUUCUGACGCUGAGGCACGAAAGCGUGGGGAGCGAACGGG